This is a long non-coding RNA of Larimichthys crocea (large yellow croaker), 284 nucleotides long. RefSeq lists it as uncharacterized. NCBI's taxonomy places the organism in Eukaryota, Metazoa, Chordata, Actinopteri, Sciaenidae. The transcript has 3 exons. The record is from RefSeq and is a predicted model, not a curated record.
GAUCCUCAUACAGUUUUCAAGAAUGUAGGGCUGAAGAUGGCAACAAACUUGUUGAUCCGAGUGCCUUCAUGUGUCAAGUUCAAAGGAAGAGAAUAUCAUUCUCAACGAAACUAUGUAAUGUUAGAGAGACACAGUUUUCUAACUACUGGCAGUGCACCAGGUCCUGUUGGGGGUGUCGGACAUUAUCCUGCUCCUCCUCCACCUGUAGUUACAGUCCGCAGUUUCUUCCCUGAGACCUGGAUAUGGGACCUGAUAGAAGUUGGGUGAGCUUAUAAAUAGUUUUU